This is a long non-coding RNA of Oreochromis aureus, 2336 nucleotides long. Lineage: Eukaryota; Metazoa; Chordata; Actinopteri; Cichliformes; Cichlidae. The record is from Ensembl.
GGAGGAGGAGGGCUCAGUAAGAAUUUUCAGUUAGAUCGCUUCCUCAUGUAGGACGGUCGGGGCAGCCUUACGAACAAAGAUUAAACAAUCCGAGAUGGAGGCAGUGAAUUUAACAUUCAUUAAGCUAAAUCUUUUCAUCUGUAUUCCCACUGUGGUGUAUUUAGGACUUGCUAAAUAACCCGUGCAGAGAGCAGUGACCAAGCUCUAUUAAUGAAGAACCGAGGAAGAACAGAAGUUUUUUUACCCACAACAAAGUUUCAGGAGUCAGUACAGCUACAAAGCUUUUUGGCUACGUUCACACUGCAGGCAAAAGCUCAUCAAAUCCGACUUUUUUGACCCUAUGCGACCCAUAUCCGAUCAUGAAAGCAACUGCUGUUUGAACGGUCAUGUCGCUGACACAAGACAGACGCCAAUUAUCAGCGCCGGAGAAGACAUCGCGAACGCUUCCUGGCCAUCCAGUGUAGAUGUCAGUGAAACUGUUGGGAAGACAACGUUGGAGAAACGUGAACAUUUUAUUUGUACUGUAUAAUCUGCAGAUUCUGACAGAAAUCUGCAACUAUCCUUUGAAGCACCGCUUCUCUAAAACAGCAACAAGGAUCAUUAUUAGGACAUAUGUAAAUAACAAAAUAACUUUAUAAAAAGCAAAAUUGGGAAACAAAGUCCGAGGCAAGUCUUUAUACUAAGGGCCAUCAAUCAAACAGCACUGUUUGGUCUGGGUCUAAACAGAGCACGUUGUGUGUGAAUUGAAGAAAGGCAUACACAAAGCUCUUCCUCCACAGCUCUUAAUCUCUCCCUGAUUUUUAGUUUUUGUGGCAGCCAUGUUCGAAAAGCUUUGCUCACAUAUGUUGUGGAAAAUGGGAGCAAUGUCAAAAUGUCUCUGUUUGCCAGAAUGGGGAACUCCUUGGCAGCAGUCAACCAAAAACUGUCCAAAGAUAGAUCAGCAAAGCUCAGCUUUAAACCACGGUCUUGUCUCAGUUCAGUUAGUUCCUCCUGUUCCUGAAAAGUCAUAUCCUUUCCGAAAACUGCUGCUGAGCUAUAUGGGUCCCUUACCCAGUCAAGGCAUUCAGUGGAGACUGAGGGGAAAUAAAUGGACAACUUCUCCUCAAGCGUUUUCAAAUGUUUACCUAUUAUUUCACACAGUGUGGCAGUUUUGAUAUCUCCUUGCCAUUUCUGAGUGAGUGGGGACAUGCCAAGGUUGGCAUUUUCCAGAUGUUGUUGCCAGAGAUGCACCUUUGAACGUAAUCCAUUUAUUUUAUCUGUGCUUGUGAGCAGUACCAAUCGGACUGAUGAAACAAAGAGCAAUUUCUAGAAUGGAAAGAAAUGAGCAGUUCACUUUUAAAUGAUCCACAUUUAUUUUUUCUACAUGCAGCCUGGGUGGGGUGAUUUUGAGGACCCAAAAUGCAGACAAGAAAUACAGGCAGUAGUUUAAAAAUAGGUAAUUUAUUUGGCUGUGAAAAAUGAGAUGCAAACAAAGACUGCGUGAAAGGAGGGAAUUUAAGACUAAAUACAAAUGAGAUAAAAUCAAUGCAAAGGAGAUAAGAAGAUAAAUAUACAGAAUGUGAGAAACAAUAACUAAAUGGGGAAACACAGAAACAGGAAUGAACUUCAAUUUUAACAAAUAACUAGAGAAUGGAACAAACACAGGGAACAGAAUGCAACCAGGAACUAACAACUCGAGGCUAAAUAAAGUAAGGCAGCCAUUCAUAAAGUCAAGAGUGCUGCUGUCCACUUAAAAACCAGAAAAUGACAAUAUUCUUCACUUGAAUCAAACUACAAAAGAAAGUGACAUUGAUUUUAAAACUGUAUUUAAAAAAAAUCAUCAACAACAGAGGCUGCUGGCUCUAAAUUGCUGCCCAGUCAUGUGCAAAGUGUUAAUGCUGAUGAUGUGACCAACCUGCCGCUGGGACACAAAAUUUCAAUACAAGGGCAAUAAAUCUGGUCCAGGGUAAUGAGUAAUAUUACACACUAACCACCUCCUAUUACCAAUUUUAUUUUGCCAAAUCCGUUUAUACAUGUGUGUAACUCUGUAUUUCUGUUACUACUGUGGCCCACCUGUAGUACAUUUGCAGUCCACAAGGGGUCGUUGGCCCACACUAUGGGAAUAACGCAGUAAGGAAAUACAUGGAGAAGCAAAUAUAAACAAUAAGCAAAUAAAGAAUGAAAAAAAAGUUUAAAUAAAGAAAACUUGUAUGAUGAUGGUGAGGGACAUGAUGGGCUGGCAGAGCAACAGUUUCCAUUAAAGACUCGGACAGAAACCUGCAAAAGCACACUGAUGGUAAACAACAUGCACUGACAAAAUCAUGUAAUAUGUCUAAUAAAAAUCUAAUAACGUGAAA